RNAcentral lists this transfer RNA (70 nucleotides) under Meretrix lyrata. RNAcentral's name for it is "tRNA-Ile". The record is from RNAcentral. Lineage: Eukaryota; Metazoa; Mollusca; Bivalvia; Venerida; Veneridae.
UGACACUAUGCCAGAUGAAUUGGGUUACUUUGAUGUAGUAAAAUAUAGGGUUUAAAUCUCUUGGUGUUAA